RNAcentral lists this ribosomal RNA (545 nucleotides) under Pusia cf. choslenae MNHN-IM-2013-38378. RNAcentral describes it as "partial 16S ribosomal RNA". It matches the Rfam family "Bacterial large subunit ribosomal RNA", at positions 1798 to 2613 of the family's 2925-position model. Lineage: Eukaryota; Metazoa; Mollusca; Gastropoda; Neogastropoda; Costellariidae. The record is from RNAcentral.
GCCUGUUUAUCAAAAACAUGGCUCUUUGUAAAAAAUAAAUAGAGAGUCGGACCUGCCCGGUGAUAAUUUUUUAACGGCCGCGGUACCCUGACCGUGCAAAGGUAGCAUAAUCAUUUGCCUUGUAAUUUGAGGCUAGUAUGAAAGGUUUGACAAGAAUAUAACUGUCUCCUUCUGGUUAAAUAGAAUUUUACUUAUAGGUGAAGAGACUUAUAUAAUAUUAAUAGACAAGAAGACCCUAUCGAGCUUGAAAGCAAUUAAUAGACUAUACUUUAAUAAAUGAUAAAAUUAAAUCUAUUAAAAAUUUUGGUUGGGGCGACUAAGGAACAGAAAAAGCUUCCUUGAAAAAUUUAACGUUCAAGUAAUGAUCCAGAAGCAUUCUGAUUGAAGAAAUUAGUUACCGUAGGGAUAACAGCAUUAUCUUUUUUGAGAGCUCUUAUCGAAAAAAAGGUUUGUGACCUCGAUGUUGGACCAGAAUAUCCUAAAGGUGUAGCAGCCUUUGAGGGUUGGUCUGUUCGACCAUUAAAAUUCUACGUGAUCUGAGUUCA